This 328-nucleotide ribosomal RNA is filed under the name uncultured eukaryote. RNAcentral describes it as "partial 18S ribosomal RNA". It matches the Rfam family "Eukaryotic small subunit ribosomal RNA", at positions 1470 to 1796 of the family's 1831-position model. The record is from RNAcentral.
CCCUUAGAUGUCCUGGGCCGCACGCGCGUUACACUGAUGCAUUCAACGAGCUUAUAACCUUGGCCGAGAGGCCUGGGCAAUCCUGUUAACGUGCAUCGUGAUAGGGAUAGAUUAUUGAAAUUAUUAAUCUUGAACGAGGAAUUCCUAGUAAACGCAGAUCAUCAAUCUGCAUUGAUUACGUCCCUGCCCUUUGUACACACCGCCCGUCGCACCUACCGAUUGGAUGGUCCGGUGAAGCCUCGGGAUUGUGGUUCUUGCCGCUUUAUUGUGGCGUGACCGCGAGAACUUGUCUAAACCUUAUCAUCUAGAGGAAGGUGAAGUCGUAACA